UGACCGUUGAAUAACUSAACAAACGUAACURCCCACGUUCUUCAAAGGACAGAAUUUGCACGAAGAGAACCGGCACUUGCGCAAGNUUAUUUGUUCAGUCUGGCUAUUCUUGGCAUUGCCUUGCCUCUGUKCAUCGUGAUUGUAAGCACAGUUACAAUUCUAAUUCGGGUUAAAAUGCAGCUUAAGGGUGUKUCCUCCCGGCGUGUSASUGGUGGUAGCAUUGAAUUAGAACGAAUGAACUUUACAUUAGUCGCCAUGUCAAUAUGUUUCACACUUCUGUCUGUSCSUGCUGUCAUUAUAUAUGUAUGGUCGGCAUACGRCAGAUCGCCUGAGACAUUGUAUCUUCGUGCUUUAUUCACCGACUUAGACAUUGUUAUGGUCUGUCUGAAUUCUGCCAGCGAUUKWGUKAUUUAUUGUUGGGCCUCCAACAAGUUUAGAGAACAGUKUUUACAAAAUAUAUGCGGGAUUNGUUCGUAGAUCACGCAGCAGUACGUCAGAUAACCCUUCAUCAACKAUUCAAUCCAUCCAGUUUAACCUUGACAG
Molecule: small RNA, 543 nt
Filed under: Spisula solidissima (Atlantic surf clam)
Lineage: Eukaryota; Metazoa; Mollusca; Bivalvia; Venerida; Mactridae
Description: cnRNA10/212
Source: RNAcentral